RNAcentral lists this long non-coding RNA (487 nucleotides) under Olea europaea subsp. europaea. The record is from RNAcentral. Lineage: Eukaryota; Viridiplantae; Streptophyta; Magnoliopsida; Lamiales; Oleaceae.
UGCAAUGGUGUUGUGGUUGGAGAUGCCCUAAAUCACCAUUUUCACUGUCAUAGACAAUGGCCUCUUUGAAUCGUACAGCUUGAGCGCUUCUGACUCUAUCAUCAAAGCUACAUCCCCCCUCAAUGAUGCCUAAUUCCAAAAAGAUAAUCUUUAUCCUUACGGUUAAAAAACAAAUUAAGGAAUUGGUAAAUCUAUAUACAUAUGCAGCCCGAAAUUCGGCCAUCCCCAAAUUAGCUCAAACUAAUAACACCAUCCCCAAAAUUCAGCCAUCCCACAAAUGGCCAAACCAGAUACACCAUCCCCAAAUAGCUAAGAAACAAUUUGAGAAACAUCAAACACUUAAAAAAUAAAAAAAUAAAAAAAUAAAUCAACAAAAGUGAGAGAAGGAAAAAAAAUAUCCCUUUACAUACAAGGAAAAAAAAAUUAUCCCUUUACAAAACCAGAUACAUGACUGUGUUCGAGAAUGUAGACAAGGUAGAGGUUGAAC